Molecule: transfer RNA, 71 nt
Filed under: Loxodonta africana (African savanna elephant)
Lineage: Eukaryota; Metazoa; Chordata; Mammalia; Proboscidea; Elephantidae
Rfam family: tRNA
About the family: Transfer RNA (tRNA) molecules are approximately 80 nucleotides in length. Their secondary structure includes four short double-helical elements and three loops (D, anti-codon, and T loops).
Source: Rfam by way of RNAcentral
ACAGUGGUGGUUCAGUGGUAGAAUCCUCGCCUUCCAUGUGGGAGAGCGAGGUUCAAGUCCCAGCCAGUGCA